This is a long non-coding RNA of Vigna unguiculata (cowpea), 1023 nucleotides long. NCBI's taxonomy places the organism in Eukaryota, Viridiplantae, Streptophyta, Magnoliopsida, Fabales, Fabaceae. The record is from RefSeq and is a predicted model, not a curated record.
UUGGAACAAAAGCUGCACACCUCCUGCAUAAUUUAGAAGUUCUGAAAUUGAUGUGCUAUCACGAGGAUGAGGAGUCAGAUAUAUUGUCCAGUGGAUUAUUUGAAGAGAUACCCACCAUACAAAAUCUUGAAGUGGUCUGCAGUUCCUUCACUGAAAUAUUCUCCUCUCAAAGACCUAGAUCUGAUUGUACCAAAGUACUUUCAAAGCUGAAAAGAUUGCAUUUGAAGAGUCUCCAAAAGUUGAUUUCCAUAGGAUUAGAGCAGUCAUGGGUAGAACCCUUACUUAAAACACUAGAAACAUUGGAAGUGUUUUGCUGCCCUAUGCUCAAAAGUGUUGCGCCAGCCACAGUGUGUUUUUCAAAUCUUACAUCUUUGAACGUUGCUGAAUGUGAUGGAUUGCUGUAUUUGUUCACAUCCUCAACAGCCAAAAGUCUAAAUCAACUGAGGGACAUGUCCGUGCGGGAUUGCCAAGCAAUACAGAAAAUAGUGUGGAAUGAUGAGGAAGAUAACGAAUCCAGUGAUGAAGAGAUAAUAACAUUUGAGCAACUCAGAGAUAUGUCACUUGCAUCAUUGCCAAGCAUAGUAGGAAUCUGCUCAGGGGCUUUGAAGUUGAAAUUCCCAUCCCUGGAUGAAGUCACUUUAACGGAAUGCCCCCACAUGAAAUAUUCCUAUGUACCUAAUUUGCACGAGUUCAAGCCCCGUCAGCAACUUUAAAUGAAGACGUAAUACAUCACUCAUACUCACAAAUGGGACUAUGGAGUUCUUCCUCUAGGCAUUUGGUUAGCUGUGAUUUCCGCAUUACAAUAUGAGAGGCGGAGGGAACAAUGAUGAUAACUAUUGCGUACAAGUAUCAUCAACAAAACUUUAUUCUAAGUCUCUUUUCUUGUUGUUUUGGAGUGCUUCAAAUACUAAUAACGUGGACCUACACGCCCAUCUAUUGUAUGGGAUUAAGUUUGUUAUAUUUUGUAUGCAUGUUAGUCCUGAACUUAAAAUACUUUGAAGACUGAACUUCGUAACACUGUCA